Oryzias latipes (Japanese medaka) is the source of this 897-nucleotide long non-coding RNA. RefSeq lists it as uncharacterized. NCBI's taxonomy places the organism in Eukaryota, Metazoa, Chordata, Actinopteri, Beloniformes, Adrianichthyidae. The record is from RefSeq and is a predicted model, not a curated record.
CAGCGAAAAGACCUCAGAGGAUCCGGGAGUUGGCGGCAGUGACCCGGCCGAGCGGAUAAGUUCAGGUAAAACAUUUGAUCUAUGGGCAUGUUAUUCGGGGCUUGGAGGCUACGGGGUUAUAUUUAACCAAUUCCGGGGCUAUUUUAAGUAGCAAAAAUAACCACAUCCUUCCCUUUUUUCAGGAAAAGAGUCUUCAUCUGAAGCGAUUGAAACAUAAUCACAGAGGCUGGACGACGUGGAAAAACCAAGAAGAAGCUACACGAACACCGGAUACGACCCCCCCCCUCGAAGUUUCCAUUCUUGUCCAUCACAAACACAAGAACCUCGGAGAGCAGCUCCAGUGGAAGGUCCGGGCAGAUGAUAACUUCAGAACACCACAAUGAGGAGAUGACGGCAGCAGUGAAAGAUGUGGAACCAAAUUGGAGUUUCCACCAAGUUAGAAGAGCUUGCAAUCGAGCUAUUGACAGUCUCAAGUGCAAAGAGAGAGAAUGGAGAUAGAAGCAAGGAGGACCAGUCAGCAUGAUCAGCUCUUCAAAAAGAGGGUCAAAAUUGCUGAGAAGAUUCUCAAUCAAGAGGAUCUGUCAUAAAUAAAAAGAGCCAAUGCAAACUAUGUCAGCGACGAGGAAAGUGACGAGGACAAACCAUCUUAUUAUCAAGCCUCGCCAAAGUGGCGCUCCACUAGGCUAACCAUGGUGAUGCUGAAAUGCCAUAAAGCCUGGGAUGAAAACUGGAGGAGUGGAAUUGAGCCAAAAUUACGCACGAGACACUCAGCUGACUUUACUGAAGGAAACCCACCACCAGUCAAGAGCUGCUAUCUGGCAGAAGAGAAAAAAAGGAUGCAUGUUUGUUUGUGGUUUUUGACUUAUUUAUUUUGUAAUAAAAUAUUUUUGAGUAAUA